UACAUAAUAUUAGGUACUUAUAUUAUGUUGUAGGUGUUAGCUUUAUCAUUGAUCAUAAAUUAAUAUUUGAAGCUGAUUUGACUAAAAUAUAGAAAAUGUAAAGUCUUGAUUUGACUCAAAUUUAAAUGUAGAAAAUAUAAAUUUUUUUUAAAGCUUUU
Long non-coding RNA from Maniola jurtina (meadow brown), 158 nucleotides. RefSeq lists it as uncharacterized. NCBI's taxonomy places the organism in Eukaryota, Metazoa, Arthropoda, Insecta, Lepidoptera, Nymphalidae. The transcript has 4 exons. The record is from RefSeq and is a predicted model, not a curated record.